This 490-nucleotide ribosomal RNA is filed under the name uncultured bacterium. RNAcentral's name for it is "bacterial SSU rRNA". It matches the Rfam family "Bacterial small subunit ribosomal RNA", at positions 27 to 507 of the family's 1533-position model. The record is from RNAcentral.
CGGAUGAACGCUAGCGGCAGGCCUAACACAUGCAAGUCGAGGGGCAUCCGGGGGUGCAGCAAUGCACUGGCGGCGACCGGCGUACGGGUGCGUAACGCGUAUGCAACCUGCCCCGCACCGGGGGAUAGCCCGCCGAAAGGCGGAUUAAUACCCCAUGGUCCCGGGGGCCCGCAUGGGCAUCCGGGUAAAGCCUUGGCGGUGCGGGAUGGGCAUGCGUGCCAUUAGCUGGCUGGUGGGGUAACGGCCCACCAGGGCAACGAUGGCUAGGGGGUCUGAGAGGAUGGUCCCCCACACUGGUACUGAGACACGGACCAGACUCCUACGGGAGGCAGCAGUGAGGAAUAUUGGUCAAUGGGCGGAAGCCUGAACCAGCCAUGCCGCGUGCGGGAUGAAGGCCCUACGGGUUGUAAACCGCUUUUCCCCGGGAAGAAUAAGCCCCCCGCGGGAGGUGAUGCCGGUACCGGGGGAAUAAGGAUCGGCUAACUCCGUG